This 496-nucleotide ribosomal RNA is filed under the name uncultured bacterium. RNAcentral's name for it is "partial 16S ribosomal RNA". It matches the Rfam family "Bacterial small subunit ribosomal RNA", at positions 28 to 506 of the family's 1533-position model. The record is from RNAcentral.
GAUGAACGCUGGCGGCGUGCCUAAUACAUGCAAGUCGAGCGAACAGACGAGGAGCUUGCUCCUCUGACGUUAGCGGCGGACGGGUGAGUAACACGUGGAUAACCUACCUAUAAGACUGGGAUAACUUCGGGAAACCGGAGCUAAUACCGGAUAAUAUAUUGAACCGCAUGGUUCAAUAGUGAAAGACGGUUUUGCUGUCACUUAUAGAUGGAUCCGCGCCGCAUUAGCUAGUUGGUAAGGUAACGGCUUACCAAGGCAACGAUGCGUAGCCGACCUGAGAGGGUGAUCGGCCACACUGGAACUGAGACACGGUCCAGACUCCUACGGGAGGCAGCAGUAGGGAAUCUUCCGCAGUGGGCGAAAGCCUGACGGAGCAACGCCGCGUGAGUGAUGAAGGUCUUCGGAUCGUAAAACUCUGUUAUUAGGGAAGAACAAAUGUGUAAGUAACUAUGCACGUCUGGACGGUACCUAAUCAGAAAGCCACGGCGAACUACGU